GCAUUUACAUGCCAAAAAAGUCUCCAAAAUUAUAUAUCCUGUCUCAUUUCCCAUGCAGGUUUUCAUAUUGCUUGUAGAUUAAACAAUACUCAAUGGUUCUUUAAGUGUUUACUGGGAGAAGAGAAAGUAGAAAGCACAUAAGAUUCAACUACACCUGACCUCUGCCCCGGAGCUGAUACAUUAGGAGGAUAAAAAAGGAACAUAUAUUUCAAUCAAGAUAUAUUUAGCAGAGAAAUAACUGGACUUUACUUAGGUCUUUUUAAACGUGAUUGGAAUGACUAUCUCAACUAUUCAACCCAUAACACUGAUGUAUCUCAAGGGGAAAAAAAACGGAGGUUUCAGUUCCGUAUGUCUCAGGCUCCAGUCUCUAGAGUUCUUCUGUAGGCUAACUAACAAGGAACAAACUGCUGCUGUGGGAGGAGAACAGAAAUCAUGAAUCAGUCAGUACUACACUGAGAAGGCCUCCAUUCAACAUGGGAUGGGUUGUUUUGCAAACAGACAGAAUGUGGUAGAAUGUGGUCUAAGUUAAGGGCACUGGAAAAAAGCAUCUUUAUGUAUCAAUAAAUCUUUAGUAGGACAUGGAAUCCGUAAUUAUUCUGAGCUCAUCAACUUGAUUGUCUCUUUUUUUUUUUUUUUAAUUGCUUUUCAGGUCUUCUGGCUUUAUUUCUUGCACAAAUGUUUCCUUACAUCAUUUCAUUUAAGAAAGGAAAGUGAUUACCAAAAUUUUACAAAAAUCCAGAAAAUUCCAAGAGAUAGAAAAAUACUGUUCUAACAGAAGGUCAAAAUAGAUACAUCGUAAAUACUCUCAAGAACUGAGACAGUGAGGCUUUGAAAUAUUCUAUCUUAUGCUCUAAUUAAAUCUGCUUAAUGAGCAGUGAAUGGGGGAACAUAAGCAGAAAAUAAAGACCCAAAGGAUAGAUCAUUAGGUAAGAAAAGAAACAAGGUCAGUGUUCGUGCUCUGUCAAUAUGUUUAUCCUGUCUACAGUGUUUUGACUGUGAAUCCCUAGCAUGCAGUGUAGUUACAGAGCACCUUAAGACCACAAACACUUAUGAAUCAAUGGCCUCACCUAUAAAACAGUCUCACAUAUAAACAGUCUCACUGAAUAUCACUUUUCCACUCAGGUAGGAUUGCUGCAGGGCAUGACUCUUCCAAAACAGGCUGUGAGAUCAGAAGCUCCUCUGAGAACAUAAGCAGUGAGAGGUUAUGCCCACCUGAACACAAGAGCCAGCUCACUCCUUCCAAAGUCAGAGCCAAAAAAACCACACAUUUCUCUUAAUUUCACUGGAUAAUUAACUGUGAAAGUGGAAGGAAAUUGUGGUGGAAGAGUCAACGGAAAUUCUAAUUUUUUGAGACUAGGGUGAAACAGAGCAGCACUGCCCGAUUCUACUGCCAACUUGAGGCAAGGUUUAGAGGUAUCAGUUCUCUUCAUGAAGUUGAGGUGGUCCUGAGAGCCUAGAAGUGGGCAGUCAGCCCCAUGAUAGCAGCUCACUGCUGCUCCCCUUCUUGGCAGCACUGCUACCAGAGAACUGGUAGCAGGCCCUAAGCUGCCCUGGUAGAGCUGCACCACACGGUGACAAAGAAGGGGUCCUGGGUGUACCAUGGGCUUGGGCAGACUCUUUUAACACAAAGACUUCUGUGAAAUGCAGAAAUCUGAAGAUUGUAUUGAGUUUAUCUCCCUCAGUUAAAUUCUCACAUGGGAUGUAUAGAUUAAAAAGGAGCAUUAAUUAAGUGAUGAUGUUUAUUAUGUACUCCCAAAAGGAAAAUACUACUUGAUACACUCCUUGGAUCCUCAUUCUAUUCAGUAUGUCUCAUUUACUGUUGUGUCACCAGUAAGGGAUUUUUAUCUCCAGAGCCUUAAAGCAACAACAGAGCUCUGUACAUGGCAUACAGUACUGACCUCAGUGAUUAUGAGUGGCAUGCUACUCAAACAAUGACAUCCUCAUUUCACCCCAUCUCUCCACUCUCCAACCUGCAUUCCUCACUUCUGUCCUAUACACACUCAUGUCAAUAGAAGUCACACUUCCAAGGAAGAGAAUGGGUCUCGAUCCUCAUUGUCAUGCUGUAAAAAUCAUAUGCAUGUUCUCAUACAUUUUCUCUCUUUAAAAUGUGAAUGAAAAGUGAUCUAUGAACUUAAGA
Lagopus muta (rock ptarmigan) is the source of this 2137-nucleotide long non-coding RNA. RefSeq lists it as uncharacterized. The record is from RefSeq and is a predicted model, not a curated record. The transcript is spliced from 3 exons. Lineage: Eukaryota; Metazoa; Chordata; Aves; Galliformes; Phasianidae.